GGAAACAUUUUUUCAAAUUUUAAAAUUCAGUCAAAACAAUUAAUCCCAAAUUAAUUGAGCAAUCAAACACCAAAAUUACUCCCAUUCCACGUUUCAGCAAUUAUUCCCCUCUUCACCCAUUCUUGCAAAUCUUUCCUAAUUUUUAGACCACAAUCAAAGUGAAAUCAAUCACCAAAAAUGACUCUCAAUACACGGCUAUAUAAAUCCUCAUACCCUAAUCUCUUUCCCUCACACAAAUUCGCAGCCACUCACUUCUUCACAAAACGGCGGAGGGAGCAGUAGAAAGGAAUUUCGUUUUUUUUUCCUCACUAAAUCCUAAUUUCAUCACGGAUCGAUUCGGGAGGGGGAGAAGCCAGAAGCUCCAAUCUUUUGUUUCAAGCCAAUUUGUUCUUUCGAAGGUGAUAUCUUGCGCGCGAAACAUGAUUCCAAGGGAAAGGAUAUAGUUGAGACUUAAGCGCUUUGAGGUUGAGCGGCGACGAGCGGUUGGCGGUGUUGAGAAAAUUAAAUAAAUUGAUAGUAUUGUCUUGAAACUCCGAGUGUCGUCUUGUCUUCACACACGACUUCACUCUUCUCUUGGAUGCUUCCGCUGAAACCUGUUUUACUUAUUUUUGGUUGAUCUUGAAACUAUUUUGAUUUCCGUUUAGAAUCUAAAGGCGUGAUAUGUUUUAGAGUACGUUGAACCCUUGUUAUUUUGAAUAUCAAUGAUGAUAAUUGUAU
This is a long non-coding RNA of Salvia splendens (bonfire salvia), 717 nucleotides long. RefSeq lists it as uncharacterized. The transcript has 4 exons. The record is from RefSeq and is a predicted model, not a curated record. NCBI's taxonomy places the organism in Eukaryota, Viridiplantae, Streptophyta, Magnoliopsida, Lamiales, Lamiaceae.